CUCCGGGACAGAGCUUCAUUUCUCCCGAGUUAUUAAAAGCUUUUGAUAUCAAUCCUUCUUGAAGCUCAGAAUACUCAUGCAACUGAUCAUCAAAAUACUGAGAGGAAUGUCUACAAAUAUGUUUGGAAGAUGUAGCCUUGGGUGACCUUCACCUUGACACUGCAUAUGAGCCUGGACCACAACUGAAAUAACUCAGGCUGCAGCCCCAUGUCAAUGAGAUGAGUUAGUAGAUCAGCCACAACCAUGAGACCUACAUCAACAUCUGGCAUCAACCUCCUACCUUACCAGCUACUGUUUCACAUCCACCUUCCAAUUCUCACAAAUUUCUCUUGUGGCCAGCCAAGCCAAGAACCAUAUAGAGAAGCAUACAGAGAAAGCCUUCAGAAGAAAAGCAGGACAUUCCAGCAAGCGUCCUCACAGAGAUGAUCCAGAGGUUGCACAGACCUUUUUCUCCACACCCCAUCGUCCCUGAUCCCAGUCACAUGGGCACCAAAUUGAAGAGAAGCCUGACAACCAUGGACUGUCGCUGGUGCCCACUGGUAACACUCAGGGCGUCCCAUCACCAUGAGGACGAAGAGAGAAGGAUCACCACAAUUACGUUCACAUAAAUGUUUGCUUAUUUUUACACACUUUCCCCAAGGAUCUAAUGUAAGGAAUUCCUUGUAACAUGUUACUAUCCUGUUUAAUUCCUUAUGUCUGUCUAACUGGCUUUUCACCAAGCGCAUGCCUCUCUCAUUGAU
Long non-coding RNA from Eptesicus fuscus (big brown bat), 740 nucleotides. RefSeq lists it as uncharacterized. The transcript is spliced from 4 exons. The record is from RefSeq and is a predicted model, not a curated record. Lineage: Eukaryota; Metazoa; Chordata; Mammalia; Chiroptera; Vespertilionidae.